Myotis davidii is the source of this 547-nucleotide long non-coding RNA. RefSeq lists it as uncharacterized. The transcript has 2 exons. The record is from RefSeq and is a predicted model, not a curated record. NCBI's taxonomy places the organism in Eukaryota, Metazoa, Chordata, Mammalia, Chiroptera, Vespertilionidae.
CCCCAUCGUGGCGGAUGAGAUCUGUCGGCAGCAAUACCUCAGGAUUGGCAAGGUUAUCAAGGAUGACAUGCUGUGUGCCGGCAGUGAAGGCCCGAGCACCUGCAAAGGUGACUCUGGGGGCCCCUUGGUCUGUAAAUUGAGGGGUACCUGGGUCCAGGUAGGCGUGGUGAGUUGGGGGCACAAGUGCGGUCUUGACAACUUUCCUACAGUCUAUGCCCGAGUGACAUCCUUCUUGUCUUGGAUCCGCGGUCAUAUUGGUUCCUCUCCUUGAGCCCGGGGCCGGGCAAGGAUGCUGCCCAUGAGCUGAAGACAGGCUCUCCAGGGUGUCUGGGGACCCUCCCUGCUUUUCAUUGCCCCUAGCGCCUCCUCCACCCCUCCCCCGUCACCCCCCACCUGCUCUGAGAUCCUCCUCCCUCAGGACCUCCAUCAGCCUCUCUCCCCUGACAGGCAAAAGGGAGAGGUGGGAUGUGCUCUGAAGUCCGCGGGCACUGCAGGACUCCUGCCUCCUCCCCACCCUCUGGAGCUCAUUAAACUGCAUGAACAACUG